This 462-nucleotide ribosomal RNA is filed under the name uncultured bacterium. Its description in RNAcentral is "SSU rRNA". It matches the Rfam family "Bacterial small subunit ribosomal RNA", at positions 26 to 518 of the family's 1533-position model. The record is from RNAcentral.
AGGAUUAACGCUGGCGGCGUGCCUAACACAUGCAAGUCGAACGAGGUAGCAAUACCUAGUGGCAGACGGGUGAGUAACGCGUGGUCAACCUGCCCUUGAGCGGGGGAUAACUAGCCGAAAGGUUAGCUAAUACCGCAUACGUCUAGGAUGGCAUCAUCCAAAGAUAAAAGCCGCAAGGCACUCGAGGAGGGGACCGCGUCCCAUUAGUUAGUUGGUGGGGUAACGGCCUACCAAGACUCCGAUGGGUAGCUGGUUUGAGAGAGCGACCAGCCACACUGGGACUGAGAAACGGCCCAGACUCCUACGGGAGGCAGCAGUGAGGAAUUUUCCGCAAUGGGCGAAAGCCUGACGGAGCGACGCCGCGUGUGGGAAGAAGGCCUUCGGGUCGUAAACCACUGUCGAAGGGGCGAUAUUGACGGUACCCUUGGAGGAAGCCCCGGCUAACUACGCGCCAGCAGCCGC